GCACUUCUGAGGAGUCCCACCAUGGGGCGAAACGGCCGUCCAGUGC
This 46-nucleotide non-coding RNA is filed under the name Schistosoma mattheei. Lineage: Eukaryota; Metazoa; Platyhelminthes; Trematoda; Strigeidida; Schistosomatidae. The record is from RNAcentral.